Molecule: non-coding RNA, 479 nt
Organism: Heterocephalus glaber (naked mole-rat)
Lineage: Eukaryota; Metazoa; Chordata; Mammalia; Rodentia; Bathyergidae
Source: RefSeq, a predicted model, not a curated record
ACCUUCUUUUAUGAGCCAACUAGUGGCUGAGUGGCUGUUCAGACUGGGGUGAUGGUGCCAGUAGAGUCUCCACUUAGAAUGAGGCUCCUAACUGGUCCCAGGCUCUGACAGCAUCACACAGAGUUGUUGCCAUGGUUUUGAGUAAUACGGUAAUGUGGACAUUUUAGAACGACUAAUCUGAUGCUAACAUGAUGGGGAGAGACAGUGAUGGUUUGGAAAUUGUCAUCACAAUCCAUGGAUAAACCAGUGUGGAUGGCUGCUGUGUGAGAAGAUGGCUUGAGGAAACAGGACCACUUUGUUGAGAGAGAAACUGGGUGAGAUGCGAGUGAUCUAAGGUGGCUGCAUACUGAAAACAUCAGUCAGAGUGAAUGUACUGAUCAGGGAAGCACUCCAACAAGGGAACAAGAAUUUAUCUUCGCUCACUAGUGGGAGAAAAGAAAGAUAUUAUUCUCCCUUCGAAGUUUAAGAAGGCAUUUUUG